GUGAGCAAGUGAGCGCAGGGUCCGGCCACUGAGCACAGUGAGGCAUGCCAGGUGCUGCGGUGGGGCAGGCAGCUCCAGGCGCUGGCACAGGCACUGGCUCUGUGCAAAGCUGUGGCUGAACCAGAGGUACCGCAAGCGGCUUUUGCUGCCAGCACCGGCGUCUGGACAAGGGGAACAUGGUGGCGCCUGAAAGCUCAGAGAUGCCAGGAAUCACAGAGCCCCCAAAGAGGGUGUUAUAGCAGGUCACAGUCCUGGCUCCGGGAGCCCUGAGGUCUGGGCUCCCAGAAGGGCUGCAGCUCUUCUCUCCUUCUCGUUGCCCACAGCAUGGGAAUCUCUGCAUAUAGCUACAAAGUCACCCAGGGAAGGACAAGCUCAUGGAGGGCUCUUUCCUGCCCAUUCGCCUCAUUUAAGUGCAGCCAUCCUUCAGGCCCUUGGUUAAGCUUCCAAGGACCCUAUGGGUCAAGAAAAGUCUUCAGACCGUGGACAAUGUGCUCUUUGCCCCUAUUAUGGAGAAAGGUGUUCCCUAGGAUGAUGACACAAGGAUUUAAUGAGUAGAAGACAACAACUUAAAACCUCUCAUUUGAGCAUGAAUUGUCUAGGUUAAAGGUAGGCAUUGAGAUCCCAUUAGCUACUGGCACACUUGGGAAAAGAAAUGUACACAUGCACAGACACACUUUAAAGCAAGACUUCAUAAAAAUACAGCGAUGCCUGUUUCUACUCAGACCCAAAAAUGGAAUUAAAGCCAAAACUUACAACCCCUCUACUAAUUAGAGAAGUAAAAAUGUCUUCACCCCAAGUGUCCCAGCACAACGUGAAACCGAAACAAGCUGCCUUUCUUUGGAUUCCACUUAUUUAUUUAUGUUUAAAAGAAUAUUUGAAGAAAAGGACGCCUAGUAAAAGAACAGUUGGAGAAAACAUGGGACACCAUACAUUGGAAGAGAAAUGUAGAUGAAGUACACAGCUACAACAGGGAUAUUUUUUUUCUUGUUGAAACACAUGAUAAUGGGCUAAUAAAAAUCUGGUUACCUUUACAUUUCUUCUCCUCCGUUUGGAAGGUCUGGGCACUUGAGACACUCUGGUCGUUCACAUCAUCAUGGUCCAGAUGGAAUAUUG
This 1113-nucleotide long non-coding RNA is filed under the name Homo sapiens (human). RNAcentral's name for it is "HSALNT0052105". Lineage: Eukaryota; Metazoa; Chordata; Mammalia; Primates; Hominidae. The record is from RNAcentral.